UACGUAGGGUGCGAGCGUUAAUCGGAAUUACUGGGCGUAAAGCGUGCGCAGGCGGCUUUGCAAGACAGAUGUGAAAUCCCCGGGCUCAACCUGGGAACUGCAUUUGUGACUGCAAGGCUAGAGUACGGCAGAGGGGGAUGGAAUUCCGCGUGUAGCAGUGAAAUGCGUAGAUAUGCGGAGGAACACCAAUGGCGAAGGCAAUCCCCUGGGCCUGUACUGACACUCAUGCACGAAAGCGUGGGGAGCAAACAGG
Molecule: ribosomal RNA, 253 nt
Filed under: uncultured bacterium
Lineage: Bacteria
Description: partial 16S ribosomal RNA
Rfam family: Bacterial small subunit ribosomal RNA
Source: RNAcentral